CUUCUAUGAAUUUUAAUUCUUCAUUUUUCAACAGAUUAUAAAGCCACAUUUCCGGAUGAAGCUUCAUAAUAUGAUUUUAAUGUGUGUUUUGCAGUGUUUUGACCACAGACAGUCAGUUUGUACUUUGAGCCUAUUGCCAUGGAAUUUAUGUCAAAGUAUGUCUAGUCAGGGUGAGAUACUUUAUCACAGAUGAAGCACAAAUCUUACAGGUACAGAUAAGGCCCAGGGCCUCAUUUAUAAAACAUUGUGUAGGCUCCACACUAAAAGUUUGACUACGCCGAAAAUCUGAAAUAGGUGUACGCCAAAAAAUAUUCUGAUUUUUAAAACUGUGCCUACGCACAGCUGCACGCAAUUUCCCAUUUAUAAAUCACACUCCAGCUGGAAGAUUGCGCAGGUGGAUCCACCUCACAUCCUGCCCACGACACACCCACAUUUUACCAUGAAUGGUCAAUGCAAAGUAACUCAUGAAUGUAUUUGCAUAUAAAUAAGCUGCUGAUCCAUGGCAUUUUAUGCUCAGUCAUAGUAGAAAAAAGAAAACGAAAUUUUUCGGAGACCGAGAUAGAGGUGCUUUUGGAUGAGGUGGAGGCCAGGAAGAGUAUUUUGUUUGGUGGUCAUAGUAGUGGCAUCACUAACAAAAGAAAAGGCACUGAGUGGCAGCAAGUUGUCACCUCUGUCAACAGUGAGUGCCACAGAGAGAACUGUGGCAGAGGUGAAAAAGAAGUGGUCUGAUUUGAAGGUGGAGGCCAAGAAGAGAGUGACAUGCCAUCGCCAAAGCACGUCUGCUACAGGUGGAGGUAGAGGAAAACCCGAGCCCACACCUCUGGACAGCAGGAUAGCAUCCAUCCUCGGGACGGCCAGCGGGUGUGGAAUCGUGUCAGAGAAGGAAGGAGACACCGAUUUGGCAGAGCCCACAGAGGAGACCGAGUUGGAAACGCUGGCUGACGAGGAGGUUCCGACCACAGCGUGUCCUGUCACCGUGGAUGAGGCCUGGCUGUCCCCAGUACAUCCUGAGACCAUGGCACACCUAGAAGUGGUCGGAUCCUGACAGACAGAGUCCUACAAUCACAAAGGGACACCAUCUGUGCCAUAAAUGAAGUGCGGGAUGAGCUCCAGCAAAUACGCACAGUAAUGAACAACAUGUGUGAGG
This is a long non-coding RNA of Amphiprion ocellaris (clown anemonefish), 1147 nucleotides long. The record is from Ensembl. NCBI's taxonomy places the organism in Eukaryota, Metazoa, Chordata, Actinopteri, Pomacentridae.